CGGAAGGGUGCGUAACGCGUGAGCGACAUGCCGUUGCCGGGACAACCGGUGGAACGCCGACUAAUACCGAAUGUGACAGCGAUCUCGCAUGAGGAUGCUGUGAAAGAUGGCCUCUAUUUAUAAGCUAUCGCUAGAGGAUGGGCCUGCGUCUGAUUAGCUAGUUGGUGAGGUAACGGCCCACCAAGGCGACGAUCAGUAGCCGGUCUGAGAGGAUGAACGGCCACACUGGAACUGAGACACGGUCCAGACUCCUACGGGAGGCAGCAGUGGGGAAUCUUCCGCAAUGGGCGAAAGCCUGACGGAGCAACGCCGCGUGAGUGAAGAAGGCCUUCGGGUCGUAAAGCUCUGUUGUCGGGGGACGAAUGUAGUUACCAUCAACAACCGUAACUAAUGACGGUACCUGACGAGGAAGCCACGGCUAACUACGUG
Molecule: ribosomal RNA, 429 nt
Filed under: uncultured bacterium
Lineage: Bacteria
Description: bacterial SSU rRNA
Rfam family: Bacterial small subunit ribosomal RNA
Source: RNAcentral